GCCGGGUGUGGUGAUGCACACCUGUAGUCCCAGCUACUCGGGAGGCUGAGUCAGGAGAAUCACUUGAACCCAGGAGGCAGAGGUUGCAGUGAGCCGAGAUGGCACCACUGCACUCCAACCUGGGUGACAGAGUGAGACUCUGUCUCAA
Molecule: non-coding RNA, 148 nt
Filed under: Homo sapiens (human)
Lineage: Eukaryota; Metazoa; Chordata; Mammalia; Primates; Hominidae
Source: Rfam by way of RNAcentral